This 551-nucleotide ribosomal RNA is filed under the name uncultured bacterium. RNAcentral describes it as "bacterial SSU rRNA". It matches the Rfam family "Bacterial small subunit ribosomal RNA", at positions 777 to 1325 of the family's 1533-position model. The record is from RNAcentral.
AAUAGAUACCCCGGUAGUCCACGCCGUAAACGAUGAGUGCUAAGUGUUGGGGGGUUUCCGCCCCUCAGUGCUGCAGCUAACGCAUUAAGCACUCCGCCUGGGGAGUACGGUCGCAAGACUGAAACUCAAAGGAAUUGACGGGGGCCCGCACAAGCGGUGGAGCAUGUGGUUUAAUUCGAAGCAACGCGAAGAACCUUACCAGGUCUUGACAUCCCGGUGACCACUAUGGAGACAUAGUUUCCCCUUCGGGGGCAACGGUGACAGGUGGUGCAUGGUUGUCGUCAGCUCGUGUCGUGAGAUGUUGGGUUAAGUCCCGCAACGAGCGCAACCCUUAUUCUUAGUUGCCAUCAUUCAGUUGGGCACUCUAAGGAGACUGCCGGUGAUAAACCGGAGGAAGGUGGGGAUGACGUCAAAUCAUCAUGCCCCUUAUGACCUGGGCUACACACGUGCUACAAUGGACGGUACAAACGGUUGCCAACCCGCGAGGGGGAGCUAAUCCGAUAAAACCGUUCUCAGUUCGGAUUGUAGGCUGCAACUCGCCUACAUGAACG